UACGAAGGUGGCAAGCGUUGUUCGGAUUUACUGGGCGUAAAGGGCGCGUAGGCGGCGUAACAAGUCACUUGUGAAAUCUCCGGGCUUAACCCGGAGCGGCCAAGUGAUACUGUUGUGCUAGAGUGCGGAAGGGGCUACUGGAAUUCUCGGUGUAGCGGUGGAAUGCGUAGAGAUCCGGAAGAACACCGGUGGCGAAGGCGGCCCGCUGGGCUGUGGCUGACGCUGAGGCGCGACAGCGUGGGGAGCAAACAGG
This 253-nucleotide ribosomal RNA is filed under the name uncultured prokaryote. RNAcentral describes it as "partial 16S ribosomal RNA". It matches the Rfam family "Bacterial small subunit ribosomal RNA", at positions 524 to 776 of the family's 1533-position model. The record is from RNAcentral.